RNAcentral lists this ribosomal RNA (229 nucleotides) under uncultured bacterium. RNAcentral's name for it is "partial 16S ribosomal RNA". It matches the Rfam family "Bacterial small subunit ribosomal RNA", at positions 568 to 796 of the family's 1533-position model. The record is from RNAcentral.
UGCGUAGGCGGCGUUGUAAGACAGAGGUGAAAUCCCACAGCUCAACUGUGGAAUUGCCUUUGAUACUGUAAUGCUUGAAUCAGGUUGAGGUCGGCGGAAUGUGGCAUGUAGCGGUGAAAUGCUUAGAUAUGCCAUAGAACACCAAUUGCGAAGGCAGCUGGCUAGACCUGUAUUGACGCUGAGGCACGAAAGCGUGGGGAGCGAACAGGAUUAGAUACCCUGGUAGACC